CAGCUCUCCGAGUGGUAGGGAUGAUUAUUGGGCUUAAAGCGUCCGUAGCCGGCUUAGCAAGUUUCCUGUUAAACCCAGCGACUCAAUCGUUGGAUCGCGGGAAAUACUACUAGGCUAGGAGGCGGGAGAGGUCAACGGUACUUCUGGGGUAGGGGUGAAAUCCUAUAGUCCCGGGAGGACCACCAGUGGCGAAGGCUGUUGACUAGAACGCGCUCGACGGUGAGGGACGAAAGCUGGGGGAGCGAACCGGAUUAGAUACCCGAGUAGUCC
RNAcentral lists this ribosomal RNA (270 nucleotides) under uncultured archaeon. RNAcentral's name for it is "partial 16S ribosomal RNA". It matches the Rfam family "Archaeal small subunit ribosomal RNA", at positions 477 to 747 of the family's 1478-position model. The record is from RNAcentral.